RNAcentral lists this ribosomal RNA (325 nucleotides) under uncultured eukaryote. RNAcentral's name for it is "partial 18S ribosomal RNA". It matches the Rfam family "Eukaryotic small subunit ribosomal RNA", at positions 1470 to 1796 of the family's 1831-position model. The record is from RNAcentral.
CCCUUCGAUGUUCUGGGCCGCACGCGCGCUACACUGAUGCAUUCAACGAGCCUAUCCUUGACCGACAGGUCCGGGUAAUCUUUGAAUCUGCAUCGUGACGGGGAUAGAUUAUUGCAAUUAUUAAUCUUCAACGAGGAAUGCCUAGUAGGCGCAAGUCAUCAGCUUGCGUCGAUUACGUCCCUGCCCUUUGUACACACCGCCCGUCGCUCCUACCGAUUGGGUGUGCUGGUGAAAUGUUCGGAUCGGCCGUUUGUCGCGGUUUCCGCGGCUCGUGGCUGAGAAGUUCAUUAAACCCUCCCACCUAGAGGAAGGAGAAGUCGUAACA